ACGCACGCUGGCGGCGUGCUUAACCCAUGCAAGUCGAACGGAAAGGCCCCUUCGGGGGUACUCGAGUGGCGAACGGGUGAGUAACACGUGAGUAACCUGCCCUUGACUUCGGGAUAACUUCAGGAAACUGGGGCUAAUACCGGAUAGGAAUCCUUGCUGCAUGGUGGGGGUUGGAAAGCUUCGGCGGUUUUGGAUGGACUCGCGGCUUAUCAGCUUGUUGGUGGGGUAGUGGCUUACCAAGGCUUUGACGGGUAGCCGGCCUGAGAGGGCGACCGGCCACAUUGGGACUGAGAUACGGCCCAGACUCCUACGGGAGGCAGCAGUGGGGAAUAUUGCACAAUGGGCGGAAGCCUGAUGCAGCAACGCCGCGUGCGGGAUGACGGCCUUCGGGUUGUAAACCGCUUUCAGCAGGGGCGAAGCUUGUGGUGACGGUACCUGCAGAAGAAGCACCGGCUAACUACGUG
Molecule: ribosomal RNA, 464 nt
Filed under: uncultured bacterium
Lineage: Bacteria
Description: partial 16S ribosomal RNA
Rfam family: Bacterial small subunit ribosomal RNA
Source: RNAcentral